GCGCGCGUAACUCAGCGGUAGAGUGCCACCUUCACACGGUGGAAGUCCCUGGUUCAAAUCCAGGCGCGCGCA
Molecule: transfer RNA, 72 nt
Filed under: Deltaproteobacteria bacterium
Lineage: Bacteria; Pseudomonadati; Myxococcota; Myxococcia
Description: tRNA-Val
Rfam family: tRNA
About the family: Transfer RNA (tRNA) molecules are approximately 80 nucleotides in length. Their secondary structure includes four short double-helical elements and three loops (D, anti-codon, and T loops).
Source: RNAcentral